Molecule: ribosomal RNA, 253 nt
Filed under: uncultured bacterium
Lineage: Bacteria
Description: partial 16S ribosomal RNA
Rfam family: Bacterial small subunit ribosomal RNA
Source: RNAcentral
UACGAAGGGGGCUAGCGUUGUUCGGAAUUACUGGGCGUAAAGCGCACGUAGGCGGACUAUUAAGUCAGGGGUGAAAUCCCGGGGCUCAACCCCGGAACUGCCUUUGAUACUGGUAGUCUCGAGUCCGGAAGAGGUGAGUGGAAUUCCGAGUGUAGAGGUGAAAUUCGUAGAUAUUCGGAGGAACACCAGUGGCGAAGGCGGCUCACUGGUCCGGAACUGACGCUGAGGCGCGAAAGCGUGGGGAGCAAACAGG